CAGCCGCCACGGUAAUACGAAGGGUGCAAGCGUUACUCGGAAUUACUGGGCGUAAAGCGUGCGUAGGUGGUGGUUUAAGUCCGUUGUGAAAGCCCUGGGCUCAACCUGGGAAUUGCAGUGGAUACUGGGUCACUAGAGUGUGGUAGAGGAUAGUGGAAUUUCCGAUGUAGCAGUGAAAUGCGUAGAGAUCGGAAGGAACAUCUGUGGCGAAGGCGACUAUCUGGGCCAACACUGACACUGAGGCACGAAAGCGUGGGGAGCAAACAGGAUUAGAUACCCCAGUAGUCCCUGUCUCUUAUAC
RNAcentral lists this ribosomal RNA (301 nucleotides) under uncultured bacterium. Its description in RNAcentral is "partial 16S ribosomal RNA". It matches the Rfam family "Bacterial small subunit ribosomal RNA", at positions 509 to 807 of the family's 1533-position model. The record is from RNAcentral.